CAUGAUGUAACUUGUCUAAAUUAAAUUAACCUAGAUGGAUGGAAAAAUUCGAGCCAGCCAGGAGUCGAACCUAGAAUCUUCUGAUCCGUAGUCAGACGCGUUAUCCAUUGCGCCACUGGCCCGCUGCACUCCGGUAAAACUGUCGCCUACUUAAAAGGGACAUUCUAUUCUUCAUCUACAUUCUAUAUACAUACAUUCUUCAUAUCACAUUUUAUUGGUCACAUACAGAGUUGUUUGAUAAUGCGAGUGUAGCGAAAUGCUUGUGCUUCUAGUUCCGGCAAUGCAGUAAUAUCUACCAAAUUAACAACAACUACCUUAUACACCUCAAAUGAACAAUCGUUUAUUUCUGGAGAAGGUCGCCUUUCGAGCUCGCAAAACUUUGAUGAGAUGGAGACUGCUUCGGCAAUGUUAACAUAUGUUUCCCAUGCUAACAAAGCCCCUUGAAUUUAAAUUGAAUUGACUCCCGAUGGCUAGGUAGCUAGCUAGCCAGCUAACGUUAGUGCAACAGGUGGGCAGGUGUUGAACGGUUUCCUGUAUCACCUCUUCCUAUGACGGUUUUGACCGAACUUCGUAGCUAGCAAGCGAGAAAACAUUUUCAUAUAUCUUCUGCUAACGUUACCUUCCUUGCCACGGUCAGAUAAAUUAUCCAGCUAACACAACAUGGGAAUAUGCAUAUUUCACUAAUAUAACUAACGUAGCUACUCGUUGGAAAUUCGGGUUGCUAAGUUUAGCUCUCUUAGUAAGUCGUCGGUUGCUUUUCAUGAGAAAAGAAACGGACAUGUAGCACGUGGUCGGCGUUCCAAACAUACACAGAGAGCCAAUCACUGGCAUGCAAACAAUGACCACAGGAAAAGGUUUGCUGGUGGGAAUUGCGAUGGUGACUCAAAACAACAACAAAAAAGCAUUGAGCUAAAGCUAGCUAGCUAUCAUACCAAACAAAUGUGUGUAAGUUACUGUACAUGGAUCGUUCAAGACGAUCCAGCUAAACCGGCGUGACAACGUUUUGACCCUCACCUCUCUCUGUCACCAGUAGCAGCAAUAUUACUUUAGUAGCAAGUGACUCGAACCUUAGCAGCAGCCUUAUAUAAUAAAAUAAAGACCAGUAUACGGUUGGUUCAAUCAAUAUCCGAACUUAAACAUUAAGACGGAUAAUAAUUUCACCGCAUGAAUUCAUUUUUCUUAGUCGUAAACAAAAUUUAAUUAAUGAACAUAGACGGUGUGGGCGUAGAGGAUACGUGUGCUAGCUGUUUUCCAAGUACAAGCUGUCUAUAUGACGUUACCUGACCAUCGCUCCAGCUAGCUACCUUUCGCCAGGUCAAGAUGUCAGGCUCUCAACUGACUCCACAGUGCUACUCCUACAUCACCUAUGUGCAGGUAUAGCCUCAUGUUGAUGUAAUCUAAGCAGCCAUUGUCUGCCAACAGGUGACAUUGUUUGUUCCUAAACCCUCGACCUAUGACUCUAUGGGCAGAUUAACUAAGUGUUUGCACUGUUUUUUCAGCAAGGGAUAAACUUUCACCUGGUGCAAAUGCUUAGUAGAGCUGGCCAUAGUGCCUCUAGCUAAUACAACAUUUCUUGUUGACACUGUCCUCUAGUUAAGAGAUCCUUUCAUGUUGUUGUGACCUUUGACAUGUGUUUUCCUGCAGUGUUGAGCAGGCUGGAGGAGGUGCAGAUGAUAAGAAGAUAAAGGAGGGGGGUGGCCAAUACUACAGCGUCUGUACGGAGUUUCUGUUACACACAUUUUAUUUACAGUUACAAAGAAAUGCCCACCCACUUCAACUGAUAUUUUGAGCCUUGGUCUAACUAAAACCAUGUGUACUGUUCUCCCAUUCUCAAGGCAAAACUCCUGUGCGAGACCAAGGCCAUCCCCAACCUGAUCUACAGUAUAGAGCAGUUUGAGAAAUACCUAAUCACCCUCUCCAAGAAAUCAAAGUUAUGUAUGGGGGUGCUUUAGGAUGGGAGAUUGUCUCAAAUUGAAUGGAAGUGUCUACUUGUAACCAAACAUAAAGCAGGAUCUGAAAAUGAGGACACACAAUAGAAGAUAGAGCCUUGUGGGACAUUUCAGUAACAGAACAUCUCCCAAACUAAACAUGCACUGCAUUAUUGUAACUACAAGAUAAAACGGGUGCCUGUGUGUUGCGUAGGUGAAUCUUAUUCCGUACAUGAAGCUGAGAGAUUUCCGCAUCAACACAGCCACUAGAGGCAGCACUGCAGGACAAGUCAGCAGGUGAGCAUCAACCAUAACACUGACACACACAUGACAGUUAUCCAAAACAUUGGUUUAGUCUCCUAUUCACUCAGCUCCAUCAUGACCUGUCACACCAAAUUUACUUAUGCUUUAUUAGUCCUGCCCAUACUCCCGCAUUCCUCACAUCGUCCUGUUCAGUAGCACACAUCACAUUUAUAAGUUAUAACACCAUGGAUACAUUUUUCUUUUGGUUCUCCUAUUUUUCCCAGACCCAAUGGUCUCAGCUAAAGUAUCAGUGUCUGACACCACAUAUCCAAUUGUGUGUUGAGGAGGAUAAGUGCUGCUUUGGAUCUUUUCCUUCUUUAGACCACAGCCUCUCAGGAGCCAGAGCAGAGCCAGGAGCCCAAGAGGAAGCAGUGAUGGAAAACAAUAUAUUUUUCCCCCUCUAAACUGCUCAAUAGACUCCUCUCUCAACCAGUCUGGAGCUGCCCCCAUUCAUUCGGAUGAUCCACUGAGAUGGGUUGUGUUCAUUUGGGCUAACUGUAGCAAAAUAAUUGCAGCCCCAAAAAAAUUAUCCCUUUAAAAAAAAUGUUGGACAACUUUAGAUAGUACAACUCCGCUGCUGACUGUUUUCUUCUGUUUGGUGCCUUAUGAGCAUGACCCUGCAGUUCCCAUUGACGUCAUUGGUUUGACUCAGUGCCUGGGUUGGGGCAGCCCUGGAGGACCUUUAUCCCAUGAUGUCUCUGUCUGCACGAGCUACACAAUAGAGGACUGGUCUGUUCACCCUGUUAUCUCCCUUUCCCCAGAGAGCCUUUGGUGAUGUCUAUGAUUUGGUAUAUGUCCAGAGCCUCACCUGUGGAGAUUCAAUGUGUGGUUAUUCUAGGUACAUGCUGUACAGAGAAAGAUACAAGAGGUUGAAGAUAUUUUGUAUUAUCUGAUCAUUUGUUUAAAGCUUUCACUUCGCAUACUGAGAGCAUGCAAAAAUGGCUGCUUAUUACUUUACUGUGAAAAUGUAACUGUAUUUAAAAAAAAAAAAAUCUAAAUUAUAAUAUUUCUCAAAUUAUUUUAUAAAAAGGUCAAUAAAUAAGGUUGCAACACAUGCACACUACAAUCCGAA
Long non-coding RNA from Salvelinus fontinalis (brook trout), 3303 nucleotides. RefSeq lists it as uncharacterized. The record is from RefSeq and is a predicted model, not a curated record. The transcript is spliced from 2 exons. NCBI's taxonomy places the organism in Eukaryota, Metazoa, Chordata, Actinopteri, Salmoniformes, Salmonidae.